Long non-coding RNA from Gasterosteus aculeatus aculeatus (three-spined stickleback), 3318 nucleotides. The record is from Ensembl. Lineage: Eukaryota; Metazoa; Chordata; Actinopteri; Perciformes; Gasterosteidae.
GAAUAUGUUAAGAUAAAGUGUGCUUGAACAAAAGCCACGGCUCAUUCAUCUGAGCCCGAACAGGCGUGUCGGCCAAUUAGUGUGAGCGAGAAGGUGUCGACUCACUCUAUUCGGGAUCAAACCGACGCGACUGCGAAUAUUAUCAGAGGGAUAAAAAUAAAAAGCAACUCCUCGUCUUUAAAUCAGAAACAAUUCCCUCGUAGGGUUUUAAUGUCGGACAACUAAAGUUAGCAGGGUUGGGAGUUCUGGUGCCACUGGCUGUGCUCCGUUUCCUGAAUCCCCAUCUAACGACCGGGCGUCCUGCUGCGUGGCACCAGCGCCGACCACUGGACAAAAGAGGAACUGCAGGCAACCCCAAAAGCCCAGACAGGUUUAUCUAUUUUCAUGGAAUGGCAGAUGACUUUAGUCCAGUUAAAUGUAUAUUUAUAUGUGUGUGAAAUGCAGCAAACAAUAAAUAUACGUAUUUAAAAAUAUAUUCCACACACAACCACCCCAAUCAAAGAAAAAAUUACCGACCAUGUCUGGCUCUGCAGGCCCGACAAUCUCAAUAAUUAAAGAUAGAUCAAGUACAUACACCUGAAAUAAUUAAAUUUAAAUGCUUGUCUCUAGAUUACAUCGUAAUUGAAAGUGAAUUGAUCAAGCCUUAUUAUUUUGUUUUGGUCAUUUGAUAAUAAAUGGAGGAGCGGAGCCCCCGUACUCUCAUUAUGCCGGCCCCGGCAACCUUACAUAAGAUUCAUCUUGCUUAAUAGGCUGCGAGAGGCGACACAUGCAGCUCGGCCCAUUAUAAUGCAAGGUUGAAAUGGGCCGCUCGGCUGCUAUCUGCAUCUGAGUGUGUUCCCCGCUACCUCUAAUCUGCUUAUGAUAAUAAAGGAACAGCGGGGGCCCCGCGGCUCCCUGAAAGCAGGCCCCAUCCAGCCAGGAAUGGCCUUGCAUCCACAAUCAUCCUGAAUUAAAGCCGUUGUUUGACAAAAACCUGGAGAAACUAGCGGGGCGGCUCCCUUGGACCACUUGUAAGCCCCCCGCUACACCAGGUUGGGAUGGAUACAGCAAAUAUAACCAACAGCACGCUGUGAUCUUAAAACACUGUUUUGUGGUGUGGACAAAUUUAGGUGAUAGGACGCUGCAAAAACAAGCGAGAGAAAAUUGAUAAUACAGCUGGAAAAAAAUAAUAUAUAUAUAUUCGAUAUAUAUUCGAAGAGCUGCCGCGCAGGAAGAAUGCAGCGUGUCUCAACUCUUAGUUGUAUCAAAGUAACACAAACAUAAAUAUGUAUGACAAUGUCUGUCGAUCGUCGAUCGGUGUGACAUCGGUAAAUCCCAAUUUGUCGAAACACAAUGUAAAUAUACACACAUAAAAAAUAAUUCAAUCUGGUAUAGGGAAAAAUAAAAUAUUGCAAUUGUAUAGCCCAUAGCCCAUAAAAUACACUCUUGCCACUAGGGGCCGUACCAGCAGCUGGAGACGCAGCAGAGAAAAUACUUUAUGAAAAUAUUAGUCUCACAUGGAAAUUAUUUAAAAAAUCAGGAAUAAUGAUGUUUCUUUUUAAAUAGAUGGAAGAACAUUUGUCCUAUAUCUUUUGAAGACGGCAAUGAGUCUAAUCACACGCGCCAGUAUUGGUUUGUUCAUAUGUUAGAACCAAAUAUGUUAGGCAGAUAUUUAUGUAAUUUGGAGCGAUGAUUAACUAAAAUAAAACCAAUUAUAAAGCAUAAACAUCCACCCGGUUAUACAGUUGACCAGAUGCCAAUCAAGUAUUACAAUUAUAAUUAGUAUUAAUUAUAACAUGAAAGGAUAAUAUAAUUCAAUAUAAGUGGAAAUACAAUAUGCAACAUUAUAUUCGGUAGAAUACAAUACAAUUAAAUGUCUAAUGUCUUCUAAGUGAAGCCUGAGUAUUAAUAUAAGGCGUGCUGCUUAAAUUGUAAUUCAAAACGAUGAUUCUUUAAAAUAAACACCGAAAGAGUUACAUCAAAUAAACAUAAUUUAAUCAGGCCACAUCAAGGAAACACGUGGAAUCUGAUAACCAUGUAUUCUGCACAUAUGAUCCCUGAGUAUGUUGAGUAGAAAACCGAACCGGCCAACAACAGCCGAGGCAGUCAGUCACGCGCACGAUGCCAGGCGGUGUCAUUCCACAACACGGCAUGUUUUGCGCACGCACACGCCAACACACACACACACAAACACACACACACACACACACACACCGGCUCAAACACACAUUAACAUAGCCUAUACACACCAACACACACACACGGCUUCUCCUCUCCGCCGCUCUCAAACUUACUUUCAGUUUGGGAGUCCUCUCGUUUUGAUUGACAGAAACCUGAAGAGCCGUUUCUCCCAACUUCCUCCGUGUCCUCCUCUCGCCUCACCCUGCGACGACGCCUCCGCCCGGCCGUUAAAACGCCAAACCCGGCACCGUCGGUGUGCGACCUUCUCUUCCCCCCCCCAUCCAUGCCGCCCAAUCUGCCGCUAGUCCCCGCGCGGAUCCCAUCCGGCAGCCGGCUCGCUUUAUCCGGCGUGCAGCCGCGCGGAGCCCCGCUGCCUGUGUGGAGCUCCGCUGUCUUCUUUCCCGCUCGCCCUGCGACAAGAAAAGCCGUUUCUUGCAGUGAUGUCACGGUUGUCGUUAUGACAAGGCCUACGGUCCUGAUGUCUGAUUGGACGCCGGCCUACGUCCCAAUUAGCAUUACAUCCAUGGCGGGAGACGCAGAUGACUCCCCUUGUCUUUUUUCUGGCCAUAUUUAGGUUUGUGGUUGUUUUGCUACUUGUCUCACCUACAACCAUGUCCUACUUCUUUUACCUGAACUGGUUUCGUCUUUUUCAGCCUUCUGUUACACUUAUACAGAAAAGUGAUAUAUUUAUGUCCAUUUCAACCCCCGGUCACGAUGGUCUACAAAGUUUACUACCAAUGACCUGACCUCCUCCACCUGCUCCUGCAUGAACCGCUUCCUCCACCCGUUAACCCCCGUCUCAAACACGUCCCCAACCUUCCUCUCCCGGCCCUGGCACCUUCAUUUGCGGCCUCUCCUCAGCCUCCCUGGCCCUCACCUAUCUCACAGCUUCGACCGCUUUUACGCGUCCGGCCACACCCACCCACCUUCGCACCUUUUUUUCCGGCCCGGCCUCCCCCGGCCCGUCAUCUCCCCAGCCUCAGAGCUCCUACCCCGGCCUCGGCUCUGCCUGUCCCUGCCUCUCCUCCAGCCUGCCUUUCCCUCAGCCCCAGCCUUCUGCAGUGUUCAAGGGGAGAGCCAGCUAGGAAUGCUGUGGCUCUAGACGUUUUGUCCAAGCCCUAGGUCUCUUUCACUGAGGCAAGAUUAGUUCAUACAAAA